GAUGAACGCUAGCGGGAGGCUUAAUACAUGCAAGUCGAGCGAGAACCCUUUCUUCGGAGAGGCGGACAGCGGCGCACGGGUGAGUAACGCGUACGCAAUCUACCUCACAGAGGGGAAUAGCCCUGGGAAACUGGGAUUAAUGCCCCAUAGUUUUGAUUUAUCACCUGAUAGAUCAAAUAAAGCUCUGGUGCUGUGAGAUGAGCGUGCGUACUAUUAGCUAGUUGGUGAGGUAAUGGCUCACCAAGGCGACGAUAGUUAGGGGGCGUGAGAGCGUGAUCCCCCACACGGGUACUGAGACACGGACCCGACUCCUACGGGAGGCAGCAGUAAGGAAUAUUGGACAAUGGGCGCAAGCCUGAUCCAGCCAUCCCGCGUGAAGGAUGACUGCCCUAUGGGUUGUAAACUUCUUUUAUAUACCAAGAACCACCUGGAUUUAUCCGGGCUUGACGGUAGUAUAUGAAUAAGCACCGGCUAACUCCG
Molecule: ribosomal RNA, 480 nt
Filed under: uncultured Saprospiraceae bacterium
Lineage: Bacteria; Pseudomonadati; Bacteroidota; Saprospiria; Saprospirales; Saprospiraceae
Description: bacterial SSU rRNA
Rfam family: Bacterial small subunit ribosomal RNA
Source: RNAcentral